Molecule: ribosomal RNA, 572 nt
Filed under: uncultured fungus
Lineage: Eukaryota; Fungi
Description: eukaryotic LSU rRNA
Rfam family: Eukaryotic large subunit ribosomal RNA
Source: RNAcentral
AAACCAACAGGGAUUACCUCAGUAACGGCGAGUGAAGCGGUAACAGCUCAAAUUUGAAAUCUGGGUCUUUCAGGCUCCGAGUUGUAAUUUGUAGAAGAUGCUUCGGGUGCGGCUCCGGUCUAAGUUCCUUGGAACAGGACGUCAUAGAGGGUGAGAAUCCCGUAUGUGAUCGGUUGCCUGCGCCCAUGUGAAGCUCUUUCGACGAGUCGAGUUGUUUGGGAAUGCAGCUCAAAAUGGGUGGUAAAUUUCAUCUAAAGCUAAAUAUUGGCCAGAGACCGAUAGCGCACAAGUAGAGUGAUCGAAAGAUGAAAAGCACUUUGGAAAGAGAGUUAAACAGUACGUGAAAUUGUUGAAAGGGAAGCGCUUGCAACCAGACUUGCGCGUUGCCGAUCAUCCGGGGUUCUCCCCGGUGCACUCGGCCUCGCUCAGGCCAGCAUCGGUUUUGGUGGUGGGAUAAAGGCCUUGGGAAUGUAGCUCCUUUCGGGGAGUGUUAUAGCCCUCGGUGCAAUGCCGCCUACCGGGACCGAGGACCGCGCUUCGGCUAGGAUGCUGGCGUAAUGGUUGUAAGCGAC